GUCGGCUACGGUGAUAUCUAUCCGGUCACACCCUUAGGGAAGGUUAUCGGAAGCGUCUGCUGCAUUUGCGGAGUACUGGUCAUUGCCUUGCCUAUCCCCAUCGUCGUCAACAAU
Non-coding RNA from Daphnia pulex (common water flea), 114 nucleotides. The record is from Rfam. Lineage: Eukaryota; Metazoa; Arthropoda; Branchiopoda; Diplostraca; Daphniidae.